This 939-nucleotide long non-coding RNA is filed under the name Apteryx owenii (little spotted kiwi). RNAcentral describes it as "lncRNA (ENSAOWG00000019487.1)". Lineage: Eukaryota; Metazoa; Chordata; Aves; Apterygiformes; Apterygidae. The record is from RNAcentral.
GCUCAGGCCUUAUAUCUGCAGCGUGGCGCUGGCUCCGUUCUGACCAAGGUGGGAACGCCGCCUUCGGAGCAGGCAGGCUGCCCCGGCACSGCUGCCCUCCGCUACCUCCCUUCAUGUGCCUGCCGUGCCGGAGCUGGAGCAGCCCUUAGGGAUCAGCACGGAAAGCCCAUGAGGACGACGAGUAGCUUUGCACCCGUGGACGUGGGUGUCAUGGACUUUUUUCAGUCUUGUAAAACACUCAGGGAUUCUGUAAAACAGGGAAGUCUCCGGUUGGCGAAACACUUCCAACACGUUGGAAGCCUUAAUAUUUUUCUGCUUGCGCUGCUUGGACUGAAACCUUUUGGCCUCGCUCGCUCAGGGCGGGUGCUCUGUAAGGUGCCGCUUGGCCUCGGUGCUCUAUCGUCUUCCAAAACUCAAUCCCUCCGCGGAGGAAGCACCGUGUGGGCGUCCCCUUCUCACCGCCUGGGAAUCGCGGCCGUGGUGAUGCCUAAACAGGACCCGGGGCCUCCUUUUGUGACAGUAUUAUUUUUUCCGGAGCUGCUGGAGCGAGCGGCGCUGCGGCUGCUCGCGGUGUUGGGAACCGAGUGCUUCCGUCGCUUCCUCUCCGCUUCGGCAACGCCGCUGGGCCCCGUUCAUCCCUCCUCUCCGCCGUCUGUCCGUCCGUCCCUUCGCCGGGAGCCGCCUCCUAGGUCAGUGCCGGCAGGAGCUGAGGACGGGGAUGGUGCGGGAGGAAGGUGGAGGGGGGACGCAAGCGCGGGAAUCCCCGAGGUGCCCCGAUCCCCGCUGCGAGCUGCCCGAAAGCCGCUUGGGUUUUCGUUUUUCCCGGGCGGCGCAGGGUCCCCCGGCGUUGGAGCGCGGCAAAUCCCUCGUUUUCCUCGCCGGACGUGGCGGCCGUCGGAGGUCGCCCUUUUCCCUGCAGUUUUGUUCUGCUUUAACACC